AUUGAACGCUGGCGGCAUGCUUUACACAUGCAAGUCGAACGGCAGCGCGGGCUUCGGCUUGGCGGCGAGUGGCGAACGGGCGAGUAAGACAUCGGAACGUGCCCAGUAGUUGGGGAUAGCCCGCCGAAAGCCGGAUUAAUACCGCAUACGACCUGAGGGUGAAAGCGGGGGAUCUUCGGACCUCGCGCUAUUGGAGCGGCCGAUGGCAGAUUCGCUAUUUGGUGGGGUAAAGGCCUACCAAGGCGACGAUCUGUAGCUGGUCUGAAAGGACGACCAGCCACACUGGGACUGAGACACGGCCCAGACUCCUACGGGAGGCAGCAGUGGGGAAUUUUGGACAAUGGGCGAAAGCCUGAUCCAGCAAUGCCGCGUGUGUGAUGAAGGCCUUCGGGUUGUAAAGCACUUUUGGCGGGAACGAAAAGGACUGUGCCAAUACCACGGUUCGAUGACGGUACCCGCAGAAUAAGCACCGGCUAACUACGUG
Molecule: ribosomal RNA, 484 nt
Filed under: uncultured bacterium
Lineage: Bacteria
Description: partial 16S ribosomal RNA
Rfam family: Bacterial small subunit ribosomal RNA
Source: RNAcentral